This is a non-coding RNA of Nothobranchius furzeri (turquoise killifish), 1052 nucleotides long. The record is from RefSeq and is a predicted model, not a curated record. Lineage: Eukaryota; Metazoa; Chordata; Actinopteri; Cyprinodontiformes; Nothobranchiidae.
UCAGAGACUUUGCAGCUAUUAGAACUAACCUGUGUACUGCUUACUUGCUACAGAAGAAGCAGCAGAAAGCUGAGCUAACAGGCUGUUUUGCAGAUUGAAAACUACUGCAUUGCAUUACAAUGGAAGUGCUACACGGCCACAUGCAUCAACUGCAGCUGUUGACAAGCAUAUGGACCUAUUGUUCGAGUCGGUGGUGGUGGAUGCUCUAUCAUAUCAGGAGUCUGUGGUGGUGGAUGCUCUAUCAUAUCAGGAGUCUGUGGUGGUGGAUGCUCUAUCAUAUCAGGAGUCUGUGGUGGUGGAUGCUCUAUCAUAUCAGGAGUUUGUGGUGGUGGAUGCUCUAUCAUAUCAGGAGUCUGUGGUGGUGGAUGCUCUAUCAUAUCAGGAGUCUGUGGUGGUGGAUGCUCUACCAUAUCAGGAGUCGGUGGUGGUGGAUGCUCUAUCAUAUCAGGAGUCUGACUAAGUACCUGUGCCUGAACCUCUCUGUGUCUAGUUCAAAAGACCUGAAAGACCUGCUGUAAGCAGGCACAGGUUAAGAUUUUAAAAGAACCUGUAAGGUGAGCAACACAACACAAUAUAAAUCUUUAUUAUUAUUGUACGCUGUACAGCUAGAAUAAACUUGCAUGCUCAGAAGCCACGUAUGAUUACAUCGCCUACAGGUUGCCUGAUGCUGAACUUCGGGCAGCUGCGUGUGACUGUACUCCCGAGGAACAACCGCCUGUUGGAGGAGUCGUUGUGUUGCUGUCAGGAGUUUGGGUCGGAGUCCUGGAUCUAUGGGAAUUCUUUCCUUGAAGCUCCUGAUCACACAACCAUACUGGCAGUCGGCUUACCCACUACCUUCUGCUCACCCGCUUGCAACUCAUGCUGUCAUUCUCCCAGACUUCUGGUUGUUGCUCCACCAUUCUGCUGUCUCCCGUCUGCUCUACAAUUUCAGACCGUAAGUACCUAAACUUUUCCUUUUGUAAGUCAUUCUUUAGUCAUUACUAACACUCAAUUUUACCUCAGGGCCUUCUGAUCUUUAAACACUAAAACCUGUGGCGUUUUUUCAGUCUCUG